Molecule: ribosomal RNA, 400 nt
Filed under: uncultured bacterium
Lineage: Bacteria
Description: bacterial SSU rRNA
Rfam family: Bacterial small subunit ribosomal RNA
Source: RNAcentral
CCUACGGGUGGCUGCAGUGGGGAAUAUUGCACAAUGGGCGAAAGCCUGAUGCAGCAACGCCGCGUGAGCGAUGAAGGCCUUCGGGUCGUAAAGCUCUGUCCUCAAGGAAGAUAAUGACGGUACUUGAGGAGGAAGCCCCGGCUAACUACGUGCCAGCAGCCGCGGUAAUACGUAGGGGGCUAGCGUUAUCCGGAAUUACUGGGCGUAAAGGGUGCGUAGGUGGUUUCUUAAGUCAGAGGUGAAAGGCUACGGCUCAACCGUAGUAAGCCUUUGAAACUGGGAAACUUGAGUGCAGGAGAGGAGAGUGGAAUUCCUAGUGUAGCGGUGAAAUGCGUAGAUAUUAGGAGGAACACCAGUUGCGAAGGCGGCUCUCUGGACUGUAACUGACACUGAGGCACGA